This 492-nucleotide ribosomal RNA is filed under the name uncultured bacterium. RNAcentral describes it as "partial 16S ribosomal RNA". It matches the Rfam family "Bacterial small subunit ribosomal RNA", at positions 29 to 507 of the family's 1533-position model. The record is from RNAcentral.
AGUGAACGCUGGCGGUAGGCCUAACACAUGCAAGUCGAACGGCAGCACAGUAAGAGCUUGCUCUUACGGGUGGCGAGUGGCGGACGAGUGAGGAAUACAUCGGAAUCUACUUUUUCGUGGGGGAUAACGUAGGGAAACUUACGCUAAUACAGCAUACGACCUACGGGUGAAAGCAGGGGAUCUUCGGACCUUGCGCGAUUGAAUGAGCCGAUGUCGGAUUAGCUAGUUGGCGGGGUAAAGGCCCACCAAGGCGACGAUGCGUAGCUGGUGUGAGAGGAUGAUCAGCCCCACUGGAGCUGGGACACGGUCCAGACUCCUACGGGAGGCAGCAGUGGGGACUAUUGGACAAUGGGCGCAAGCCUGAUCCAGCCAUACCGCGUGGGUGCAGAAGGCCUUCGGGUUGUAAAGCCCUUUUGUUGGUAAAGAAAAGCAGCAGGUUAAUCCCCCGCUGUUCUGACGGUACCCAAAGAAUAAGCACCGGCUAACUUCGUG